GCUUCUGUGGCCUAGUGGUUAGAGGGUCUGCCUCUUAUGCAGGUGGUCGCGGGUUUCAACACCAGCUAAAUUAUACCAAAGACA
Potamilus streckersoni is the source of this 84-nucleotide non-coding RNA. NCBI's taxonomy places the organism in Eukaryota, Metazoa, Mollusca, Bivalvia, Unionida, Unionidae. The record is from the annotation of a GenBank genome assembly.